This 229-nucleotide ribosomal RNA is filed under the name uncultured bacterium. RNAcentral describes it as "partial 16S ribosomal RNA". It matches the Rfam family "Bacterial small subunit ribosomal RNA", at positions 568 to 796 of the family's 1533-position model. The record is from RNAcentral.
UGCGCAGGCGGACUAUUAAGUCAGUGGUGAAAUCCCGGGGCUCAACCUCGGAACUGCCAUUGAUACUGAUAGUCUUGAGUUUGGUUGAAGUGGGCGGAAUGUAGCAUGUAGCGGUGAAAUGCAUAGAUAUGCUACAGAACACCGAUCGCGAAGGCAGCUCACUAAGCCAAAACUGACGCUCAUGCACGAAAGCGUGGGGAGCAAACAGGAUUAGAUACCCUGGUAGUCC